Molecule: transfer RNA, 71 nt
Filed under: Loxodonta africana (African savanna elephant)
Lineage: Eukaryota; Metazoa; Chordata; Mammalia; Proboscidea; Elephantidae
Rfam family: tRNA
About the family: Transfer RNA (tRNA) molecules are approximately 80 nucleotides in length. Their secondary structure includes four short double-helical elements and three loops (D, anti-codon, and T loops). Further hydrogen bonds mediate the characteristic L-shaped molecular structure. tRNAs have two regions of fundamental functional importance: the anti-codon, which is responsible for specific mRNA codon recognition, and the 3' end, to which the tRNAs corresponding amino acid is attached (by aminoacyl-tRNA synthetases). tRNAs cope with the degeneracy of the genetic code in two manners: having more than one tRNA (with a specific anti-codon) for a particular amino acid; and 'wobble' base-pairing, i.e. permitting non-standard base-pairing at the 3rd anti-codon position.
Source: Rfam by way of RNAcentral
GCAGUGGUGGUCCAGUGGUAGAAUCCUCACCUCACGUGUGGGAGACCUGGGUUCCAUUCCAGGCCAGUGCG